ACAUAGACUUAAACAGCUUUCACAGAUCGUAGCAAAUACUUGGCUGACUCUUUUGGAAGCUCAUUAAGUCCUUGGUGGGUCACAUUACACCAGGCGGUUAUGCAUGUUUUGGACACUCCAUGAUUGCUUUGACCUGUUUUCCGAAUCGCCUCCUAGGGCGCAUGUGGUCUCUCUGUGCCCGAGCUCUCAGCUGGUACAGAGAAGCAAGCUGGAGCAGACGGAAGGACUCGCGCCGAGGGACAGAUAUGCCAGGGGAGCUGGUAGUGCCCUCCCGGGCCCCACGAACAUGCUUCGAUCUGCUCUAGUGAGAAGAGAAAAUACAUUCACGCUGAGAAGACAGCAUUGAAUUCUUCCCAGCUUGCAGUCCUCAUGGUCGGUGAAGAACAGGGCAUUUGACUGGUUGAUUUUCAAAGCCCUGCCAAGGGAUGUAGAUGUGAUGGCUGGAGCUUCGGCAUCCAUAUUGAGCCACGAGGCAACCACAAGGAUGGAAGAGCAGAGAGAGAAAAGGAGUCUAGAUUCCUGAGCAUCUUGGAGCCACCACACUGACCCUGAUCCUUAUGACACAUUGUCUAUUGUUUUCAGACGUGACACACGAACACCUCGGACCCCUGACUCGUUGAAGGCUGCUGGGUGUGCACCGGCCCCCUGGGGCUGUUCUCACGCGAUGCAGGAGUGCCCAGGGGCAGGCCACACCUGAGGACGCAGACUGGCCAGAAAGUGCCCACCUGGAAAGCUGUGAAGGCUCGUAUUGUCUUCCAGGGGAGAAGACAGCAGAAUGGAAACGGGAGAGGUGAGAACUGCCAGGGCCGAGGAUAACUUGAGGAUGAUCGGUCGCUGUCGAAGACAACAGAACUCCUUCUUGGAGAGACUGCAUGCGUGGGGAAACUGCUGGCUGGUCUCUGGCCCCGCUUGGUCCUUCUAAGCUCUUGCAGCCACUCCCAAACAUCUAUAAAACUCCAUGGGGAAGAUUUCCAAAGUCCGUUUGAGUCCUGAAACACUUGUGUCUUUCCAGCAAAGGAAUGGCAUUAAACGGGUGGUUGCUUUCUAUCUGCAUUCUCACCCUUUCCCAGGGAGUAAUGGGGCUGGGAUAAUUUUUAAAAAUACAGCCUUUCAGAAUUGUGACAACAUGUUUCUCUAAUAGCCACAAUAAAUGUCCCCAAAGAU
This is a long non-coding RNA of Manis pentadactyla (Chinese pangolin), 1164 nucleotides long. RefSeq lists it as uncharacterized. The record is from RefSeq and is a predicted model, not a curated record. The transcript is spliced from 4 exons. NCBI's taxonomy places the organism in Eukaryota, Metazoa, Chordata, Mammalia, Pholidota, Manidae.